RNAcentral lists this ribosomal RNA (117 nucleotides) under bacterium. The record is from RNAcentral.
CUCGGUCAUCAGAGCGGCGUGGAACUACUCCUUUCCAUUCCGAACAGGACCGUAAAACGCGCCAGCGCCGACAAUAGCUGAGCCGCAAGGUUCCGUGAAGAUAGGUCAUGGCCGAGA